GUACGGCGGUUCAAUCAGUUUGUAUCACUGUGGUACACGUUUGGUGGAGGAACCAGACUGGAGGUUAACUUGGGUGAUGUCCGUCCCUCCCUGACGGUGCUGCCCCCCUCCACAGAGGAGCUGCAGCAGGGGAAGGCCACGCUCAUGUGUCUGGCCAACAAGGGCUUCCCCUCAGACUGGAGUCUGUCCUGGAAGGUGGACGGCAGCAGCAGCAGCAGCAGCAGCAGCUGGGAGGAGAGCAGGAGCCCCGGGGUGCUGCAGGAGGACGGCCUCUACAGCUGGAGCAGCACCCUGAGGCUCCCUGCAGACCAGUGGAGGAAGGUGGGCUCUGUGAGCUGUGAGGCCACCCAGGGCUCCCAGACUCCACUCUCAGAGACACUGAGGAGAGACCAGUGUUCCCAGUCCUGACCUCACCCACUGGGAACAUCACACUGGUUCUGUUCUGUUGCUGUUCUCUGGUUGUUCUUUGUAACUUUCUGUCUUUCUAAUAUCAACCUCAUUUUUAUGGUCAAAGCAUUUUAAAAUAAUAAAAAUGUAUCAAGAAAACAAAUCAAAUUUUUUGGUAUUCUUUUGUUUGGUAUGAAAAUCUUACAGAAUUAAAAGUAUUUAGAUUCACUGACACAAACCCCUGCGACCCCAGUGAGGAUAAAGCGGUAUAUAGAGAAUGGAUGGAUGACACAAACCCACAAGAAAAACAAUGUUACCGUUAAUUAUUAAAGUUGAACUUUUUUGAAUAAAUGUAAAGUAA
Non-coding RNA from Acanthochromis polyacanthus (spiny chromis), 748 nucleotides. Lineage: Eukaryota; Metazoa; Chordata; Actinopteri; Pomacentridae. The record is from the annotation of a RefSeq genome assembly.